RNAcentral lists this ribosomal RNA (476 nucleotides) under Penaeus pulchricaudatus. RNAcentral describes it as "partial large subunit ribosomal RNA". It matches the Rfam family "Bacterial large subunit ribosomal RNA", at positions 1808 to 2545 of the family's 2925-position model. Lineage: Eukaryota; Metazoa; Arthropoda; Malacostraca; Decapoda; Penaeidae. The record is from RNAcentral.
CAAAAACAUGUCUAUAUGAUUGUUAUAUAAAGUCUAGCCUGCCCACUGAUUUGUUUUAAAGGGCCGCGGUAUAUUGACCGUGCGAAGGUAGCAUAAUCAUUAGUCUUUUAAUUGGAGGCUUGUAUGAAUGGUUGGACAAAAAGUAAGCUGUCUCGGUUAUAAUAAUUGAACUUAACUUUUAAGUGAAAAGGCUUAAAUGUUUCAGGGGGACGAUAAGACCCUAUAAAGCUUGACAAUAAUUUCGUUAUAUUAUAAAUUGUUAGUAUAACUUGAUUUUAACGGGAGUUUGUUUCGUUGGGGCGACGGGAAUAUAAUAAAUAACUGUUCUUUUAAAUAUAAUUACAAAAAUACUUGGUAAAUAAUUGAUCCUCUAUUAGAGAUUAAAAGAUUAAGUUACUUUAGGGAUAACAGCGUAAUCUUCUUUGAGAGUCCACAUCGACAAGAAGGUUUGCGACCUCGAUGUUGAAUUAAGGUAU